GAUGAACGCUGGCGGCGUGCUUAAUACAUGCAAGUCGAACGAAGAGCCUUUGUAGCAAUACGAGGGUUUCUUAGUGGCGAACGGGUGCGUAACGCGUUGGUGACCUGCCCCGAAGUGUGGGAUAACAGUUCGAAAGGACUGCUAAUACCGCAUGUGGACACGAGGGUUAGAGGCUUUGUGUCUAAAGCAGUAAUGCGCUUUGGGAGGGACCUGCGUCCCAUCAGUUAGUUGGUAGGGUAACGGCCUACCAAGGCUACGACGGGUAGGGGACCUGAGAGGGUGGCCCCCCACAAUGGAACUGAAACACGGUCCAUACACCUACGGGAGGCUG
This 331-nucleotide ribosomal RNA is filed under the name uncultured Chloroflexota bacterium. RNAcentral describes it as "bacterial SSU rRNA". It matches the Rfam family "Bacterial small subunit ribosomal RNA", at positions 28 to 351 of the family's 1533-position model. Lineage: Bacteria; Bacillati; Chloroflexota. The record is from RNAcentral.